This 336-nucleotide ribosomal RNA is filed under the name uncultured bacterium. Its description in RNAcentral is "bacterial SSU rRNA". It matches the Rfam family "Bacterial small subunit ribosomal RNA", at positions 72 to 422 of the family's 1533-position model. The record is from RNAcentral.
AAGUGGAGCAAUCCAUGAGUAAAGUGGCGACCGGGUGAGUAACACGUGACUAACCUACCUUCGAGUGGGGGAUAACAUCGGGAAACCGAUGCUAAUACCGCAUAACAUCGCAAGAUCAAAGCAGCAAUGCGCUGGAAGAGGGGGUCGCGGCUGAUUAGCUAGUUGGUGGGGUAAAGGCCCACCAAGGCUUCGAUCAGUAGCUGGUCUGAGAGGAUGAUCAGCCACACUGGGACUGAGACACGGCCCAGACUCCUACGGGAGGCAGCAGUAGGGAAUCUUGCGCAAUGGGCGAAAGCCUGACGCAGCCAUGCCGCGUGAAUGAUGAAGGUCUUAGGA